This is a non-coding RNA of Cinara cedri, 392 nucleotides long. Lineage: Eukaryota; Metazoa; Arthropoda; Insecta; Hemiptera; Aphididae. The record is from the annotation of a GenBank genome assembly.
GAAACGAGUUUUUUUAAGCUAAGAUAGCGAUGUAAGAUAUUAAAGGGAUAAAAAAUAUGCAAUAGUCAUCAACAUCCUACGUCUACUCGUUAAAAAUAUAAACUCGCAGCCAUUAAAAACACUACGUUAUUCGUCGUGAUUUAGCCCUACAUCAAGUCUACUUUCGAACCUGCACGUUACCGGAUGUUAAAAAAUAACUGUUACACGCCCAACCGAUCCGAUAUGGCACUUCGGGUUUGUAUCUAAUUCGUUUCUACAAUAUUAUUACCUCAAGAGGACGCUGUCGUACCCGGUGUCUCCGCGAUAUGCGAACCGAAUUUCGCGCAACAAAUUUUCGUUCAGCCGCAACAGCCCUGUGCCGUCGGUUUUAACGUGUCAGAGUGAAUUGACUU